UUGAAUUUUAUUGUUCAAGUGCGAAAAACAUAAUAUUUAAUAAAUAAAAGUAUCAUACAAACCGUUAUAAAAAGCUCCUCUGGGCGUAAUAUAAAAUCUGAAAACUUCCAGAUUUUUUUAAUUGAAUUUAUUUAUAAAAGUAUCAUACAAAACGUUAUAAAAAGCUCCUUUGGGCAUAAUAUAAAAUCUGAAAACUUCCAGAUUUUUUUUAAUUUAAUUUUGAAUUUGUGGGUAAAAGUUGUGUGUUUGUUCCCUGUUGUAGAUCUUUUAAUUCUGAAUCAAUAAAUGUUUCAGUUGUAAAGAUACCUCAAUAAAACGAGAGAUAUCGUCAGAAAUUCUACUAACAUGUCCAUGGACGUAUUUGGAAAAGUCUUGCCCUUUUCUAUAUUCUGUAAGUUUCAGAAGUUCAUGUUUUUGAAGACCUAGAAAAUAUUUUUUACGAAGUUUUCAGAAGAAUUUAACUUUACCCUUUGGCAACCAUCGGAAUAGGUUGUGAAUAGCAGUCAGUCAGUUCAUUCUUUUCAAAACCGUGUGACUAUUCUGAGCUUCUCGCUGAAUAAUUACCGCUUUUAUUUUUUUUUUAUCUGCAGCAUUACUCACAUGUUGAAGAGAGUUUCGCCUAAUGUCACGUUCAAGAGGGGGGGAAGAGCUGUUUAUCUUACUUGUAAGUUUUUAUUUAUCUCAAAAAAGGCUCAAGUUUUUCCUGCUCGUCUCGCCUAAUUAUUUAUACAGAUCCCUAUAAAGCCAUAGCACAUAUCACUAUGAAAGAUAGGUGCAAUUCAAGACGGAUAUUUAAACCGAGCCGUCAGAAUUAGUUUCUACUAUCUGAAGGACUAGGUCAGCUUCUGACGAAAUGGAUUCCUGGAUCCCUGGCCACGCUGGCAUACAAGGGAAUACAACUAGCGGACAUUAUAGCUAAAACUGCUACUACAAUGUCUAAUUUCCCGAUCCCACUCACAGAUAUCAGGGUGAUGACCAAACGUAAAUUUUUUAAUAAAUGGCAGAGUGACUAGGAUAACCAAACCAACAACAAGCUGAGAAGUGUUAAACCCGCAACUGAAUGUUGGCCGUUCUAUAACAAAUAUAAGUUUUUUUUAACCCGGUUGAGAAUUGGUCAUUGUCGCCGAAAGGAAAGAAGCCGAAUAUCUGCCGAAAGGAAAGAAGAAUCGCCGUUGCGCAAGGUGCAAUGCAGAUCUGAUAGUCCGUCAUAUUUUAUUGGAAUGUCCCACUUUAUUAUUUUCGCCAAAAACAUUUUAAUUGUUUAAAAUUGGAUUUAAAAACUUAAGAGGAAAAAAGCAUUAUCAUAUAUUGUCUCAGUUUUUAAAUGAUAUUGAAUGUUACUAUAAAGUGUAAACUGUU
Stegodyphus dumicola is the source of this 1359-nucleotide long non-coding RNA. Lineage: Eukaryota; Metazoa; Arthropoda; Arachnida; Araneae; Eresidae. The record is from RefSeq and is a predicted model, not a curated record.